GCCAGGCGUGGUGGCUCAUGCCUGUAAUCCCAGCAUUUUGGGAGGCCGAGGCGGGUGGAUCACCUGAGGUCAGGAGUUUGAGACCAGCCUGACCAACAUGGAGAAACCCCGUCUCUA
Molecule: non-coding RNA, 117 nt
Filed under: Pan paniscus (pygmy chimpanzee)
Lineage: Eukaryota; Metazoa; Chordata; Mammalia; Primates; Hominidae
Also listed under: 1 other name
Source: Rfam by way of RNAcentral